GCCGCGGUAUCUUGACCGUGCAAAGGUAGCAUAAUCAUUAGUUUUUUAAUUGGGAACUCGUAUGAAUGGUUGGACAAAGAAGAAACUGUCUCUCUUGUUAAAGUUGAAUUUAACUUCUAAGUGAAAAGGCUUAGAUUGUCUAGAGGGACGAUAAGACCCUAUAAAGCUUUAUAAAUUUAGGGAUUUUAUAAAUUUUUAAAUAACAAUAAUUUUUCGAUUAUUUAUUUGGUUGGGGCGACAAUAGUAUAAUGAAAGUAACUGCUUUUAGAUAAAACAUGAGUAUGUGAGUCAUAUUUAAUUGAUCCUUUUUAAAGAUUUUAAGAUCAAGUUACUUUAGGGAUAACAGCGUUAUUUCUUCUGAGAGUUCUUAUCAAAGGAGAAGUUUGCGACCUCGAUGUUGAAUUAAAAUGUCUAUGUAGUGCAGCAGCUACACAAGAAGGUC
Molecule: ribosomal RNA, 442 nt
Filed under: Thalamita integra
Lineage: Eukaryota; Metazoa; Arthropoda; Malacostraca; Decapoda; Portunidae
Description: partial large subunit ribosomal RNA
Rfam family: Bacterial large subunit ribosomal RNA
Source: RNAcentral